This 364-nucleotide ribosomal RNA is filed under the name uncultured eukaryote. Its description in RNAcentral is "partial 18S ribosomal RNA". It matches the Rfam family "Eukaryotic small subunit ribosomal RNA", at positions 592 to 976 of the family's 1831-position model. The record is from RNAcentral.
CAAUAGCGUAUAUUAAAGUUGUUGCAGUUAAAAAGCUCGUAGUUGAACCUUGGGCUUGGCUGGCCGGUCCAUCUUUUUUGAUGCGUACUGGACCCAGCCGAGCCUUUCCUUCUGGCUAGCCUUUUGGCGAACCAGGACUUUUACUUUGAAAAAAUUAGAGUGUUCAAAGCAGGCCUUUGCUCGAAUAUAUUAGCAUGGAAUAAUAGAAUAGGACGUUAUGGUUCUAUUUUGUUGGUUUCUAGGACCAUCGUAAUGAUUAAUAGGGACGGUCGGGGGUAUCAGUAUUCAGUUGUCAGAGGUGAAAUUCUUGGAUUUACUGAAGACUAACUACUGCGAAAGCAUUUACCAAGGACGUUUUCAUUAA